This 214-nucleotide long non-coding RNA is filed under the name Prunus persica (peach). RNAcentral describes it as "long non-coding RNA (PPER_LNC008798)". Lineage: Eukaryota; Viridiplantae; Streptophyta; Magnoliopsida; Rosales; Rosaceae. The record is from RNAcentral.
UUCUGAAAUGGAGUGGUUGGUGUAUUGUAUAGUUCUAGGGAUUGGAUUUCACUCAAAACCCACCAAAUGACUCCUCCCACAAUAUUAUGAUAUUCCCCAAGUUUUGGACUCAAUCCGAUAUCGAUUGGUCCUUGAAAUCGGACAAUUCAGGUUCGUAGGAAGUUCGUUCAUAAAUGGGGUGGUUGGUGUAUUGUAUAGUUCUAGAGAUUGGAUU